Molecule: ribosomal RNA, 240 nt
Filed under: uncultured bacterium
Lineage: Bacteria
Description: partial 16S ribosomal RNA
Rfam family: Bacterial small subunit ribosomal RNA
Source: RNAcentral
GAUCAUGGCUCAGGACGAACGCUGGCGGCGUGCCUAAUACAUGCAAGUCGAGCGAAGUUUUUUGGUGCUUGCACUAGAAAACUUAGCGGCGAACGGGUGAGUAACACGUAAAGAACCUGCCUCAUAGACUGGGACAACUAUUGGAAACGAUAGCUAAUACCGGAUAACAGCAUUAACUGCAUGGUUGAUGUUUAAAAGUUGGUUAUGCUAACACUAUGAGAUGGCUUUGCGGUGCAUUAG